RNAcentral lists this transfer RNA (78 nucleotides) under Felis catus (domestic cat). It matches the Rfam family "tRNA". From Rfam's summary of the family: Transfer RNA (tRNA) molecules are approximately 80 nucleotides in length. Their secondary structure includes four short double-helical elements and three loops (D, anti-codon, and T loops). Lineage: Eukaryota; Metazoa; Chordata; Mammalia; Carnivora; Felidae. The record is from Rfam by way of RNAcentral.
GCCUGGGUGGCUCAGUCAGUUAAGCGUCUGACUCUUGACUUCUGCUCAGGUUUGUGAGUUCAAGCCCCACCUCAGGCU